This 597-nucleotide long non-coding RNA is filed under the name Homo sapiens (human). RNAcentral's name for it is "HSALNT0202702". Lineage: Eukaryota; Metazoa; Chordata; Mammalia; Primates; Hominidae. The record is from RNAcentral.
AAUUAAGAACCACAAUUUACAAACCAUCUGGAACUCAAGCUUCCUCUGCUAUGUUUUCUAAUUUCCAUGCAAGAAUAUACCAAAAUUUGUGUAUCUACUUUCCUGCUGAUGGACUUUCCCCCCAACCCACCCCAGUUUGGAGCUAUGUAGUGAGUUGAAUUGAACAGAGACCCACAAAAGGCAACUCCUCUGCCCUUCAGUAAUAAAGUAUACCCGUUGCUAUUGUCUGAGGAUAUCAGAAGGGCCAGGUCUGUGAUCUGCAAUUUAAGCAGAAUGGGAGAUACUAAAAUGUGGGAAGACAAAGGAAAACCUACUGAAGAUGGGACAUCAGGUGGCAUUCAGGUAACGGACAUAAUAAAGGAUGAGGCUAUAAUUAAGGCUCGUGGGCAUAAAAAAAAUAGGCAGAAACCUGCGUUUUAGGAAGUACAGGUUGAGGAAACAGUGGUCUCUAACUGCUAAGAGAGAUCAUUAAUGAGGCCAGCAGUCAAAAUCAUGGAUAAUUCCAAAGGAAGUGGUAAUAAGAAUUCAGUAAGAAGUAGCUAAGACCACAGCAGACAUAGUCCUUCCCAGGAGAAAAAAAAAAGAAAGAGAGAAGAA